RNAcentral lists this non-coding RNA (177 nucleotides) under Deltaproteobacteria bacterium. Its description in RNAcentral is "6S RNA". It matches the Rfam family "6S / SsrS RNA". From Rfam's summary of the family: E. coli 6S RNA was the first non coding RNA to be sequenced, but its function was unknown until recently. It consists of 184 nucleotides that fold into an extended hairpin structure with a large single-stranded internal bulge. The record is from RNAcentral. Lineage: Bacteria; Pseudomonadati; Myxococcota; Myxococcia.
CGACCCCUGUGGUGUACGUGAUCGAUGGACAAUUUUUGAGCCAACACCUACGUCAAGGGAGCCCUAAUUAGGCUUCGGUGAGCCCGUGAUCCUGUCAUGAGCCUGAAGAAGUGCUAGGGCGCCCACCUUGACCCUAGUAUCAAGAAUCCCGUCAGACACGGCACGCACGGGGGUCGC